RNAcentral lists this ribosomal RNA (1377 nucleotides) under uncultured bacterium. RNAcentral's name for it is "bacterial SSU rRNA". It matches the Rfam family "Bacterial small subunit ribosomal RNA", at positions 28 to 1381 of the family's 1533-position model. The record is from RNAcentral.
GAUGAACGCUGGCGGCGUGCCUAAUACAUGCAAGUCGAGCGAACGGACGAGAAGCUUGCUUCUCUGAUGUUAGCGGCGGACGGGUGAGUAACACGUGGAUAACCUACCUAUAAGACUGGGAUAACUUCGGGAAACCGGAGCUAAUACCGGAUAAUAUUUUGAACCGCAUGGUUCAAAAGUGAAAGACGGUCUUGCUGUCACUUAUAGAUGGAUCCGCGCUGCAUUAGCUAGUUGGUAAGGUAACGGCUUACCAAGGCAACGAUGCAUAGCCGACCUGAGAGGGUGAUCGGCCACACUGGAACUGAGACACGGUCCCAGACUCCUACGGGAGGCAGCAGUAGGGAAUCUUCCGCAAUGGGCGAAAGCCUGACGGAGCAACGCCGCGUGAGUGAUGAAGGUCUUCCGAUCGUAAAACUCUGUUAUUAGGGGAAGAACAUAUGUGUAAGUAACUGUGCACAUCUUGACGGUACCUAGUCAGAAAGCCACGGCUAAACUACGUGCCAGCAGCCGCGGUAAUACGUAGGGGGCAAGCGGUUAUCCCGGAAUUCUUGGGUGUAAAGCGCGCGUAGCGGUUUUUAAGUCUGAUGUGAAAGCCCACGGCUCAACCCGUGGAGGGUCAUUGGAAACUGGAAAACUUGAGUGCAGAAGAGGAAAGUGGAAUUCCAUGUGUAGCGGUGAAAUGCGCAGAGAUAUGGAGGAACACCAGUGGCGAAGGCGACUUUCUGGUCUGUAACUGACGCUGAUGUGCGAAAGCGUGGGGAUCAAACAGGAUUAGAUACCCUGGUAGUCCACGCCGUAAACGAUGAGUGCUAAGUGUUAGGGGGUUUCCGCCCCUUAGUGCUGCAGCUAACGCAUUAAGCACUCCGCCUGGGGAGUACGACCGCAAGGUUGAAACUCAAAGGAAUUGACGGGGACCCGCACAAGCGGUGGAGCAUGUGGUUUAAUUCGAAGCAACGCGAAGAACCUUACCAAAUCUUGACAUCCUUUGACAACUCUAGAGAUAGAGCCUUCCCCUUCGGGGGGGCAAAGUGACAGGUGGUGCAUGGUUGUCGUCAGCUCGUGUCGUGAGAUGUUGGGUUAAGUCCCGCAACGAGCGCAACCCUUAAGCUUAGUUGCCAUCAUUAAGUUGGGCACUCUAAGUUGACUGCCGGUGACAAACCGGAGGAAGGUGGGGAUGACGUCAAAUCAUCAUGCCCCUUAUGAUUUGGGCUACACACGUGCUACAAUGGACAAUACAAAGGGCAGCGAAACCGCGAGGUCAAGCAAAUCCCAUAAAGUUGUUCUCAGUUCGGAUUGUAGUCUGCAACUCGACUACAUGAAGCUGGAAUCGCUAGUAAUCGUAGAUCAGCAUGCUACGGUGAAUACGUUCCCGGGUCU